This 454-nucleotide ribosomal RNA is filed under the name uncultured bacterium. Its description in RNAcentral is "partial 16S ribosomal RNA". It matches the Rfam family "Bacterial small subunit ribosomal RNA", at positions 28 to 507 of the family's 1533-position model. The record is from RNAcentral.
GAUGAACGCUGACAGAAUGCUUAACACAUGCAAGUCAACUUGAACUUCGGUUUGGGUGGCGGACGGGUGAGUAACGCGUAAAGAACUUGCCUCACAGAUAGGGACAACAUUUGGAAACGAAUGCUAAUACCUGAUAUUAUGAUUAUAUGGCAUCGUAUAAUUAUGAAAGCUAUAUGCGCUGUGAGAGAGCUUUGCGUCCCAUUAGCUAGUUGGAGAGGUAACGGCUCACCAAGGCGAUGAUGGGUAGCCGGCCUGAGAGGGUGAUCGGCCACAAGGGGACUGAGACACGGCCCGUACUCCUACGGGAGGCAGCAGUGGGGAAUAUGGGACAAUGGACCAAGAGUCUGAUCCAGCAAUUCUGUGUGCACGAUGAAGUUUUUCGGAAUGUAAAGUGCUUUCAGUUGGGAAGAAAAAAAUGACGGUACCAACAGAAGAAGUGACGGCUAAAUACGUG